GCGUACAGUCAUGCCACCCUGAACACGUCCAAUCUUGUCUGAUCUCGGAAGCUAAGCAGGGUCGGGCCUGGUUAGUACUUGGAUGGGAGACCACCUUGGAAGAUCAGGUACGGUAGGCG
RNAcentral lists this ribosomal RNA (119 nucleotides) under Pteropus alecto (black flying fox). The record is from RNAcentral. Lineage: Eukaryota; Metazoa; Chordata; Mammalia; Chiroptera; Pteropodidae.